AAGCAUUACAUGUUAUUCUUAACACCUGCCACUUCUCUCUUCCCACCUCUAUCUGCCUUAUUGAACUUCAUCUUUCCUUCAUUCUCUUCAACUUCCACUUCUUCUUGUAUGGUCCUGUUGAUGCCAUCUUGUUUCCGUCCCCAGACUCAUCAUCUUUACCCUCUGUCAACUGAGUUCCCACCCUGGUUCUCUCUCAAGAUCUUCCUCUCAUAGCUUUCACCCUUGGUAAACAAUGAGGACACAUCUCAAAAAGAAUGAUGUAAUUUAAUUGCCUUGAGUUGGCUGGGCCAUCAUCUAUUAUAAAGUGCUCUUAAAAUUAAAGCUAAUUUAAUUCUGAAGAACUAAGGAUUAAGAAGUUAAGAGCUGGGGUUCUUACAAUAUGGCUUGCAGACUACAAGUGUGAACUGAGGAGGUCCCCAAAGUCACUUCUUACUAAGUUCAGAUAGGUGAUGGAUUGAAAAUAAUCCCAAUAUUCCACAAGCAACAUCAACAUCCCCCACACACCCAGCACCGAGGAAUACCCUCCUCUCUAGAAUGUGAGGCCACUGUGUGGAGGAAGACACCACGGUGCUCUACUGAGCCAUGAAAGUCACGCCUGACCUAAACAGAAGACUACGUCCCCUGGCUAAAAGAGGAAAUAGUUGAAAGCGGUGUAAAUGGCUCUUAUCUGAACCACAAUGAAUUCACAUAUUCAAGUUGGCUUCUUCGGAAAUUUCAGGCCACAAAUGGCAGUGAUGCGACCAGGAGCAGUAACACGAUUACAAGUCGCAAUUUAGGAAGGGUGCUCCAUCAUCAUUUCAUGAUUCUCACUACAGCCCAGACAGGUGGGCAGAGCAGUGUUCUUUCCCCUUUAAUGAAUGAAGAAGCUGAGCCUCAAACAGAUGAGGGGGCUUCCUGGGUUCACAGAGCUCUAAAGGGCUGAGCUGUAGAUCCACGGCCACCAUGAUGAGCUAAGAGUUUCUGGAUUCAGUGCCUGCUGUUGCUCCUGGAGAUUUGUAUCCUGAUUGAAGGCUGGUUCCAUAUCUGUUCACCCAGUGCCACUUCCAUCCGGACAGAAGGAACCCAGGUCAAGGCUGACAGGAGGAGCAGGAGCCGUCAAUGAGAGCAGACCUCAGAAGCCAACGGAGGUGAGAAGAGCACCAUCCACAGCCCCAUCCUCUGAAUGCUGUGGGAAGAAGUCCACAAAAUACCACCCCUUGGAGUCAGUCAGUAGUAGAGCCCUUGCUGCUGGCUGCAAAUACCCCAUCAGAACAUGUUUGGGGUGAUUCUUGGACCUGGUUUCAAUUUCUUUUCUGCCAGUCAGCAGUUGUGCUUGACUCACAAUUUGUUGCCAUCUCUUGAAUUAAACUCAGGAAACAGGAUAAAGAUCAGAACCACAUUGUAAAAGCUUCCUUAUGGUUCAUUUUUUGCUGAGAUAAAUAAUGAGCAGCUCUGAUCCAUGUCUCUGGAGAGCUCAGAGCACACUACCAGGAGCUCCUAGCCACAGGGUGAGCACAGGUGGCUGGUGUUCUCUUGAUGAGGAAAGACAGCAGUGUCCAAUCUACCCUGCCUUACACGGAGCCCCAGGUGCUCUCCCGGACUGUGUUGCUACCUAAAGCACAUGGCAAUUGCAUGAUGCUAACCAGAGCAGCCCCUCACUCAUUAGAAACAUCUGCUUUGCAUUAUUUACACAGGCAAAGUUUUCCUUUUUACUGAGCCUACCCAGUUCAAACUUAAGUGGGAUUUGCCAGCUAUCUGGCUAAUUUUAUGAGCAAUAAUAAAGAUUGGUGAACACUU
Molecule: long non-coding RNA, 1776 nt
Filed under: Homo sapiens (human)
Lineage: Eukaryota; Metazoa; Chordata; Mammalia; Primates; Hominidae
Description: HSALNT0357834
Source: RNAcentral